Molecule: small nuclear RNA, 23 nt
Filed under: Arabidopsis thaliana (thale cress)
Lineage: Eukaryota; Viridiplantae; Streptophyta; Magnoliopsida; Brassicales; Brassicaceae
Description: snRNA_05317
Source: RNAcentral
AAAAGAUGAUAAAUACUCUUAAA